RNAcentral lists this ribosomal RNA (258 nucleotides) under Triticum aestivum (bread wheat). RNAcentral describes it as "partial small subunit ribosomal RNA". The record is from RNAcentral. Lineage: Eukaryota; Viridiplantae; Streptophyta; Magnoliopsida; Poales; Poaceae.
AUGGAGCAAUUGGAGAAGAGGAUGGAUGUUGCAGAACAACAAAUCAAAGAGCUGCGUGAAGAUCUUAAUCGAAGAUUUGACCAGCUGGUUGAGAUGAUAAGAAAGGGUGUCCCCCCUGCUACCAAUGAAGUUGAUUCAUCUAAAGAAGAAGAAGAUGUUCAUCAAAGAAGAAUGAGAGGUAAUCUUGGAGCAAGACCGCCACAACAACAUGUUGUUCGACGUGCUUCAAGAAGGCCAAUUUAUGUUGGAAGCUUCUGA